GGCCUGGUGGUGUAGUGGUAACAUCUCCUCUCUAUAUAAGAAGAAGGUAUGUAACGUACUUCUGAGGAAGUCCCCUAUUCAACUCGGGGUCAGGCCA
Non-coding RNA from Mycena latifolia, 97 nucleotides. NCBI's taxonomy places the organism in Eukaryota, Fungi, Basidiomycota, Agaricomycetes, Agaricales, Mycenaceae. The record is from the annotation of a GenBank genome assembly.